AUUUACAAUCCAUGCAGUACUGUUAGUGUGGCUAUUUUUUUUCAUAUGCUCCAUCCACCCAUGACUUGAUAAACUACAGUUUAGAACAGUAUUUAUCAACUUUUUCAGCACAGGAACCGCAUAAUAAAUGAUGAAAAAGUAUAUCCCUUAGGGCCUGUACUAAGAUUUUUACUGCCCUAAGCAAUAUUCAGUUUUCAGCCUUCACAUAUCCCACAUUUCUCCAGUCUACUUUUUUGACUGACAUCUUUUUUUUUGUCUUUCUAGCUACUCUUUGCCAAACUCUUUAUUCUUCUGGCUACAAGUCUUGUUUUUUUGUAUUACAAUGUGAUUUGUAUUGUACUUUCAAUAUCCACUCAUUUCCACUCAUUUUCAGCUUUGCUAGCCUUUCACAUUGUAGGGACUACUUUGUCUUAUGUAUUUUCCUACGUUUGACCUUCUUUGACCAAAGGAGGAGCUUAAGUCCGCUCCAUUUUCUCUUGUCAAUGAAAUUUUCCCACAAUAUUCACCUCUCCUCCGUUAUCUCUAGUUGCUUCAUUUGCCGUUCGAACGUCCUGUCAUUUAGACAGGUCGCAGGUGAAUUCACUGAAUUCGUCCUAACAGAAUGUUAAAAGUUUGUCCAUUUGUAUUGGGAUGACAUUUGUACAUUUUGCUCGGUUUGGAAUUUAAUUUGAAUAAAUUAAAUUCCAAUCUGAGCCACGGCAUGUCUACUAAAACGAAUUUUGUCCUAACACAAAUCGACAAACUUUCAACAUUCUGUAAGGAAGAAAUUCGGUAAAUUCACCGGAGCCCUGUCUAACAGGAUGUUCGAACGGCGAAUGAAGCAUCUAGAGAUUACUGGAGGAGGGCUAGUAUUGUGGGAAAAUUUCUUUGACAACAGGAAAUGGAGCGGACUUAAGCUCCAGGCAACUGUAGACUGGUAUUUAGGAAGGCAAGAGGGGGCCAGAGGGCUAGAUGGUGGUUUUAAAAAUUUAGGGUCAGGAAUAAAUGUUUUAAUGGCACAUCUUCUCUUUACUUAUAGUGCAGAUUCCUAAUUCAACUGAGGGACCCAGUGUUUCUUAUUUCAUAAGACAUAUCUCCUCUAUGUACACUUAAAUGGAUUGCAGUGCUUCCUGGGUUUAUAUACCCACUGUGUUUAAAAUGUAUUAAAAUAGGAUUGUGGGUACAGAAGGAGGGGGAGGACUGGGGGACUUUGGAUAUGUUAUUGCUAAGUUCCACUGCAGAGUACUAUCAGAAGCAUUCACUUUGGUCAUGUGUUUUGAAUGAAUGUACUGCAGUAAUAUUAUAUAUCAUGGAGUUAUUUGGGGCAUUCAUCAAAGUAAUCAUUUAUGAAUUUACAAUGUGGUAUAAAACACAAAAACAAAAUUUUCAGAAG
Non-coding RNA from Pelobates cultripes (western spadefoot toad), 1372 nucleotides. The record is from the annotation of a GenBank genome assembly. NCBI's taxonomy places the organism in Eukaryota, Metazoa, Chordata, Amphibia, Anura, Pelobatidae.